AAAACCAUCAAGCCUGGCUUGGUCUUGGGCGCGGUCUCAGGACCCGCCCGCAACCCGUCGGCGGUGCCGGCCCGGCCCUGAGCGUAGCAAGACUCUCGCUCGGGGGCCGCGGCGGCGCCAGCCGAGAGCACACACCUCAAGUU
This 143-nucleotide unclassified non-coding RNA is filed under the name uncultured Dothideomycetes. RNAcentral describes it as "sequence contains ITS2". Lineage: Eukaryota; Fungi; Ascomycota; Dothideomycetes. The record is from RNAcentral.